GAGAUCACCAAGGGGGAGCGGAGACAGAGUGAAGGGACAGAGCCCAGGGACGGAGGCGGGAUGAGGGGGAGCAGCCGGUAAUGUGCAGAGACCGGGAGAGGGCAGUGUCCAGGUGGAGAGUAUUUCAAGGAAGAGGAUGGUUAACAGCGACCACCGCUGCGGACGGGCCAAGGGAGAUGAGGCUGGGAACCACCCACCGCACUGAGCAUCCUGGGGGCUGCUGGUAACCUUGGUAGGAGCAGAUCUGAUGGUCCUGAACAAGAGCCAAAUAUCUGAAAGUGAGUUAAAGAGAGACGUGGAGGAGAGGCACUGGAGGCGAAAACCCAGAGAAGGCUUCAAGCAGAACGGAAGGGAAGGAGCUGCCAUCUUUCAGAGGACAUGGGCUUUCCAGGGCUCCAGGGUCCCCACCUGGCCACAGUGCUCUUCCAAGCUCCCUGCCAGGCCUCCAUGGGCCCCUCCUUGCACCUUUUUUUCUGUCACAGUCUUCAGGAGGCAUCUCCUGGGACCGACACAUGGAAGCUGGUGAGACCACAUCGCUGGCCACAGAAGUCUCACAUGACUCCGUAAAUUCUCAGAGUGCAAUUCAUUUGAAUGCAGGGGUUCGAGUCCGAAGAAUGUCACCUCUGCCGGAAACACCGUCACUGCCUGUGACAUGACCAGCCCGGGGGGCAGAAGCCCAGCAGGGUGGAGGAGCGGCUUCUCCGGCUUCACAGCUUCCUCCCUUCUCUGCCCUCACACCUCCCACAGCACGCUCCCUUGCAGCCACCUGGUUCCAGGCUUUCUGGAACCUUCUUUCCUCUGACCCUUCUUUCCUCUCCAGUGGAGCUGAAACAGACGGCUUUCUUCAAAAGGCAACUUCUAAGAGUAGGUGGGAAGCCAGAAAGAAAUCAUGAACAAACACAAAAUGUGUGAAGACUGAUGAACAUAUAGAAAGCAGAGUCCCAACCUAGGAAGCAAGAGCUGAUGGUCUCUUAUGAGAUCCAGCCAAAGAGCCCUUUUUAGAUGGUAAAAUUCUGUGAGGACACUAAAACUUCAUUAUUGUCACCAUAUCAUCUUCUAAAGAUGAUCUAGGUCAAAGAAGUCAAAAGGAUAAGGUCAAUCCCAAGGACAGAGAAAAGAAGAGCUCACCCACAUGUGAUUUGGAGUUGCUGGGACUGAGUGUCUCAGAAGCCUCAAGUGGCAUCUGCUCUGCACCCAGAAUUUCUGGAACAUGAUGCCUGAUGCCUGUGCUGGAAGACCCGGAGCCAGUUCAGGGAUGAGAGGCAGCUGCUCGCUGCGGCGCUCACUGCUCCUGCCUCGAUGAAGAAGCCUGUAAGAGCUUGGGGUUCUUUGCUACCCAAGAGGUCAAAAUCAGCUUGUCCCGAGAGGUCUGGGCAUGCCUAGCCGGCAGGGCAUCCAAGACAGAUGCAGCGCUGGCACUGUUAUGGGAAAGGCACGCUCACUUUGUGCCUGAAUGGGUGUUGGUCAAUGCGGGGACCGUGGGCUGUGGGGCUGGAGGUCUCAUCCUCAGAAUGUGCCCAGGGCCUGGGGUUGGAGAGUAGAGUCUGCUCUCAUGUCUUCUCCCUUCCUGCCUGUGAUCCCCAAAGUCCUCAAACAGACUUGUAAGGUGGCCAGGAUGGGACAGCUCAAUCUAUCUUACACCAACGAGCCUAUGGAAGCCAGCAGGUAUCAGAUGACUCUGCCCCGGGCCGUCUGGCACCACUCUGGGCUGCUCAGACCUCCCCAGGAUCCUGCACUCCAUUUAGUUUGGGAACUGCUGAUUCAAACUGACACCCAGCCCAGCCAGGCACUAUUUGGGGAGACCACGGAAUGACGGCCAGGUGGCACACAUGGAGUGAAAACCCUCCUAAUGUUUCUUCCACGCUACCCUCAUUUCCCAAAACCAGGUUCAGUGGAACUGGUUCCCGCAGACACUGUAUUUGUCCUCAUGAUAAUUUGCAUAAUUGCAGCUACCACUUCCUGCCUACUGUGUGCCAAGCACUGUGCCAAGUGUUUGAUACGGAAUAACAAAUCUGAUCUUCCAGGAACUUUAUGAGAUGGGCACUGCUGCAUUUUACAGACGAGGAACUCAGGCGCUGAGAAGUUAGACAACUCACCCAGGAACAUACAGCUGGCAGACGGCAGAGCUGGGCUCGAAGCCCAAGCCAUUUACCUCCAGAGCACAGGCUUGUGAAACCAAGCAGGCGUGUCUCUGCAGGAUUUCUGAGCCUUUCAUGUGCCAGCAGGCAGUGUAAAUUCCCAAGAAGAGGAACAGAUUGUCAUCUACCCCAAACUUAUUUCCCUUAGUUAUCUGAUAGCCACUGACCGCCCACUCUGCCAAUUACUGUGGCUUUGUCAAAGCCCAUCCCUACUCAGUUCCGGGAGAGUGGCUCCCACACACAAGGGCCCUGGCCUGAACCCUCCCUUUUCCCCUCCAGAGACUGUCACUUCAGUCCUUGUUCGCGUCAAUGCCCCUGCCUGAAGUGCCCUCCCCACCAUGGCCUCCUCUCGAGCCCCAGGGGGCACUACUGGAACACUAGGCACAUGGAGCCUUUUGACCCAUCUGGUAUGACCUAGUGCUCCCGGAGAGGCAGAGCGCAUGAGGUUUAGAGUCUGACAGUCCUAACUCCACCACCAGCAGCCUGAGCUGGUCGCCUGCCCCCUCAGUAGAGUUUUCAUUAUGAAACCGGCCUAACACCAACUUUGUAUGGCUGCGGAAACAUUCCCAACUCUGCCUGCAUGGUGCCUGGAACAGAGCAGGAGCUCAAUCCAGAGAGGCUCUUACUAGAGGAGACCCCUCCACACCCUCCUUCAGUAACAGCCUACCCAGCAGCUGGUCACUCAAGGAGGGAAUCAGUAUGGGUUCAUUCCUUAAACAUUUCUUAAACUUCAGUUAGAAAUGGCGGGAUGUGUGUGAGUCCACCAACCUUCCCGAUGGAGAAAAACACAAACACAGGCUGCCUGACCACAUUUUAAAUUCAUGACCCCAAAAUUCAGGUGGGUUCCCAGCACAUGCCUCCUGGCAGCCCUUCUCUGUUCCCUGGUGACAUUCCCUUGCUCACCCACAUGGCUGCUGCCCACCAUCUCCCCUCUCCCUCUACAUCUACCCAUCCUCACUCUCCUCCAGCAACUUCGCUUCCUAUGGCCACACUGAUGGUGGAAUAAGACUCCCACAGUUUGCACCCUGCAUCCCUGCCCAGCUGCCUUCUUCCUUGUAAAGUGGGAUGCCCCCUCCUGAGCCUCAGUCCUCCCACGGGUACCAGGCCCCAUCAUCUUUCAUGAAAUCAAGGCACUCCCCAUUUCCACCCCAGAAGUCUCUAUUCCUGCAUCUGUGUUUGAUUUCUUGCCCUAGCAUGUAUCAUCUGACACGCUAUUUACUUGCUUGCCUGUCUCCACCAACUGGAACAUAAAUUCCGUGGAGUAGGACAUUGUGUCAGUUUUGUUCACUGCUAUAUCCCCUGGCACCUAGAACAGCACCAGGCACAUAACAGCAGGCGUAGGCCCCACAUUCAUGAAUGAAUGAAUGAAUGAAUGGCCAAGAUCCUCACCGCCUUUCUGGACUAAAUCACACCCAUACUGCAUCAUCUGUGACUUCCAGUUUUUGUUCCAAGCGUGGUGAAAACCUAAGACACUUACAAAAGGAAUCAGUACAAAAGCUUCCUAUGCCUUUAUGAUCUCUGCCCUGCAAAUAAUUUUCUCACCCACACCUAGUUGGAUUGCAAUUUUAAAGCAAAUUACUAUAAGCCUUUCUUUUUUUUUUUUUUUUUUGAGGCGGAGUUUUUCUCUUAUUACCCAGACUGGAGUGCAAUGGCACAAUCUCGGCUCACCGCAACCUCCGCCUCCUGGGUUCAAGCAAUUCUCCUGCCUCAGCCUCCCGAGUAGCUGGGACUACAGGCGUGCACCACCAUGCCCAGCUAAUUUUUGUAUUUUAAGUAGAGACGGGGUUUCACCAUGUUGACCAGGAUGGUCUUGAUCUCUUGACCUUGUGAUCCACCUGCCUCGGCCUCCCAAAGUGCUGGGAUUAUAGGCGUGAGCCACCACGCCCGGCCCUACUAAGAGCCUUUCUAAGGAUUCAACUUGUUUUUCAUAAAUAGCUUGGUGGUAUUCAUCGGCUUGUAUAUUUAAUUAGAUUGUGCAAGUAUGAUAAUAAAUACGAGUGGCAUAAACAGGUUUGGGGACAAAUGCGACUGACCUUUGGCACGCCUUUGACUUAGCUGUUGGAAUGGAAGCACACAGGCUCUCCCCGUGAGCAGCAGUCAGGAUUUCCAGAGGCAAUGGAGAGAGUGCAUUAGUAUGGUGGGUUGGUCAAACUGAAGUCAGUUGGGUCCCACCUGUAUGUUUAUUCCACAGUUGGUGUUCCAACAAAAGUUCAGAAGGAUUUCUGGGCCCAUCCCACUCUCCAAGGCCCUGUGCUUUACAAAAUGUCCUUGCAAAUCUUUUUUUUUUUGAGGCAGAGUUUCGUUAUCGUUACCCAGGCUGGAGUGCAAUGGCGCGAUCUCGGCUCACCGCAACCUCCGUCUCCUGGGUUCAGGCAAUUCUCCUGCCUCAGCCUCCUGAGUAGCUGGGAUUACAGGCACACAUCACCGUGCCCAGCUAAUUUUUUGUAUUUUUAGUAGAGACGGGGUUUCACCAUGUUGACCAGGAUGGUCUCAAUCUCUUGACCUCGUGAUCCACCCGCCUCGGCCUCCCAAAGUGCUGGGAUUACAGGUUUGAGCCACCGCGCGGGGCCCACAAAUCUGAAUUCUCUGUUCUUCCUUAGGCAAUGGUGAAUAGGCCGGACUUGAGCGGCGGAGACCUCUGUGUUUGCUUCGAGUGCUCGUGUUUGUUACCCUUUGAUCCGCCUGCCUGGAUCACAUUACCCAGCAGCUCUGACUCAUGAGGGUGGUGGAGGAAUCUCCAAGGCAAGCGAUACUGUGUUGCAGAUCCAGUUUUUGGAACAGCUUUGUUCAACGCAGCCCAUUCAAAGCAUAUGGCACCAAGAAUCCCAUCAGUGUUUAAACCCUAAGAAGAAGAUUCGUUAUAUUGAGCAAAAAUAAGAAAACACGCAAGGAAAGUCAUCCAUUGCUGUGUAUUUUGGGAGGCUUUACCGGAGAAGGACACCUCUGAGGAGAUGUCAAAUGUCAGGAGACAGAAUUCAAGCUUGGAACCACAGAAAGAGUGACUAUUUUCAGGUCCAAAAAUUGGGAAAAAAGAACCUAGAAAUUUGAAGGCAUAUUUGAAGAGUGCUACCCCAUGAAGUUCAGGAUGUUCAGUCAUGGUCAAAGAACUCAAAUCUUUGAUGUAUGCACCAGUGCAGACUGGGAGGGGAAGACCGUAAUUCCACCAAUACCUUUGAAUGAACAAACUGUGCUGUACUGGGCUUCUGGCACACAAUUUUCUGCUGGUCUCCAUGGCUUAUUGAUUGGCUUUCCUUACACUUUUUUUUUUUUGAGACAGGGUUUCACCAUAUUGGCCAGGCUGGUCUUGAACUCCUGACUUCGAGAUCCACCCCACCCCACACCCCGGCCUCCCAAGGAGAUGCGAUUACAGGCCUGAGCCACUGCCCCAGCCUCCUUAUGCAUUCUUAACCUUAAGGACUAUGCCCUGAGGCAGUAACACUGAUUCUAAUUAGCUAUCACCAGCCUUUUCUUUUGACUUGAUUUUAAUGGAUCAUUUACCUAUGGAUGGGACAUUCUCUAAUCAAUCACCAGCAGUUAAUUGCCCCAAGAUUCCCAUUUUAAACCAAGAGGUCAUGAGUUCAGGUCAGAUAAGUAGGUCACUGAGGCAGAGUGCUAGCUUUGGCUCUAUUAUCCUUCAAGAUUUCUUUUUCUUCCACAAAUACUGAGUUCUGGCCACAUGCUCAGGGCUACAGCUGGGUGCAGGUGAAUGCACACAUGCAGGACACUGUGCUGGUGAAUCUCCAGCUCCCUCUUACCUACGACACUCGCCCCUGCACUGCCCCGACUCAUCAUCUGUCAUUAGGUUGUUAUAAGAAUUAAAGACCAGCACUUUGGGAGGCCGAGGUGGGUAGAUCACGAGGUCAAGAGAUCGAGACCAUCCUGGUCAACAAGGUGAAACCCCAUCUCUACUAAAAAUACAAAAAUUAGCUGGGCAUGAGCCGAGAUCGUGCCAUUGCACUCCAGUCUGGGUAACAACAGCGAAACUCCUUUUCAAAAAAAAAAAAAGAA
Callithrix jacchus (white-tufted-ear marmoset) is the source of this 6146-nucleotide non-coding RNA. Lineage: Eukaryota; Metazoa; Chordata; Mammalia; Primates; Cebidae. The record is from RefSeq and is a predicted model, not a curated record.